UUGGAGAAGGAACUCGGCAAAUUGACACCGUAACUUCGGGAGAAGGUGUGCCUCUAGUAGGUGAACCCGUACAGGGGGAGCCCAAUGAGGUCUCAGAAAAUCGGUGGCUGCGACUGUUUAUUAAAAACACAGCACUCUGCAAACACGAAAGUGGACGUAUAGGGUGUGACGCCUGCCCGGUGCUGGAAGGUUAAGUGAUGGGGUGCAAGCUCCUGAUCGAAGCCCCAGUAAACGGCGGCCGUAACUAUAACGGUCCUAAGGUAGCGAAAUUCCUUGUCGGGUAAGUUCCGACCUGCACGAAUGGCGUAACGCUGGCCACACUGUCCCCUCCAGAGACUCAGCGAAGUUGAAAUGGUUGUGAUGAUGCAAUCUACCCGCGGCUAGACGGAAAGACCCCGUGCACCUUUACUGUAACUUUGCAUUGGACUGUGAACCGAUCUGUGUAGGAUAGCUGGGAGGCUUUGAAGUGGGGGCGCUAGCUCUCAUGGAGCCAACGUUGAAAUACCAGCCUGAUUGUUUUGCGGUUCUAACCUAGGCUCGUCAUCCGGGCCGGGGAUCGUGCAUGGUAGGCAGUUUGACUGGGGCGGUCUCCUCCCAAAGAGUAACGGAGGAGUACGAAGGUACGCUUACCACGGUCGGAAAUCGUGGCUUAAUGUGCAUUGGCAAAAGCGUGCUCGACUGCGAGACGUACAUGUCGAGCAGGUGCGAAAGCAGGUCAAAGUGAUCCGGUGGUUCUGUAUGGAAGGGCCAUCGCUCAACGGAUAAAAGGUACGCCGGGGAUAACAGGCUGAUUCCUCCCAAGAGUUCAUAUCGACGGGGGAGUUUGGCACCUCGAUGUCGGCUCAUCACAUCCUGGGGCUGUAGCCGGUCCCAAGGGUAUGGCUGUUCGCCAUUUAAAGUGGUACGUGAGCUGGGUUUAAAACGUCGUGAGACAGUUUGGUCCCUAUCUACCGUGGGCGUUGGAAGUUUGAGGGGGGCUGCUCCUAGUACGAGAGGACCGGAGUGGACGCAUCCCUGGUGUACCGAUUGUCACGCCAGUGGCAUUGUCGGGUAGCUAUAUGCGGAAGGGAUAACCGCUGAAAGCAUCUAAGCGGGAAACCUGCCCCAAGAUGAGACUUCCCGGAGGCUUGACCUCCCUGAAGGGUCGUCCUAGACCAGGACGUUGAUAGGCUGGGUGUGCAAGGGCUGCGAGGCCUUCAGCUAACCAGUACUAAUUGCCCGUGUGGCUUGACCCU
RNAcentral lists this ribosomal RNA (1235 nucleotides) under metagenome. RNAcentral's name for it is "bacterial LSU rRNA". It matches the Rfam family "Bacterial large subunit ribosomal RNA", at positions 1701 to 2925 of the family's 2925-position model. The record is from RNAcentral.